This 246-nucleotide ribosomal RNA is filed under the name uncultured bacterium. RNAcentral describes it as "partial 16S ribosomal RNA". It matches the Rfam family "Bacterial small subunit ribosomal RNA", at positions 525 to 770 of the family's 1533-position model. The record is from RNAcentral.
ACGUAGGUGGCAAGCGUUAUCCGGAUUUACUGGGUGUAAAGGGCGUGUAGGCGGGACUGCAAGUCAGAUGUGAAAAUUAUGGGCUCAACCCAUAACCUGCAUUUGAAACUGUAGUUCUUGAGUGAUGGAGAGGCAGGCGGAAUUCCGUGUGUAGCGGUGAAAUGCGUAGAUAUACGGAGGAACACCAGUGGCGAAGGCGGCCUGCUGGACAUUAACUGACGCUGAGGCGCGAAAGCGUGGGGAGCA